RNAcentral lists this long non-coding RNA (13157 nucleotides) under Ananas comosus (pineapple). RNAcentral describes it as "long non-coding RNA (ACOM_LNC031036)". Lineage: Eukaryota; Viridiplantae; Streptophyta; Magnoliopsida; Poales; Bromeliaceae. The record is from RNAcentral.
UUUUUGUAUCUUCUUGAUCGUUUUCACUCUUCUCCUCCUUGUUGGUGCUUAAAUUAUCAUGCGCAGAAAUUUGAAGUCUUGUGAAAAAGAAAAAACCAAUCUGUUGUGCAUGUUAAGAGGAGAUAUAAGAAAAUUCUUAGCAAUCUAUGGUUUUUUUUCCUCGAAAAAGAAAAGAAAAAAUAAUAAUUAGCAUCUUCCUUUGGCUACAGUGGGCGAAGAAAUGGGUACAAUAGUCUAAAUUACCUUCCAUUCCUAUAAAACAUGUAACAAAGUGCCCUUGUUUUGAUAUUGCUGUUCUGUUUCUCCAAUAUUUAAAUUUGUGGUCUGUAACUUCCUAAUAACAGUUUUUUUCUUUUUUUUCUUUUCCCUGGGCCUGUGUAAGACGCUUCUGUUAGCAUACUUUCUUGUUUCUAUGGUUGUGUAAUUCGUCUAUUUCUUGAUUAUUUUCAGGUAAAUGCUGCAGCAGAAAUAAUUUAUGACCUUGUCGAUCCAAGUGCUAAUCUAAUAUUUGGAGCUGUGAUCGACCCAUCACUCAGUGGUCAAGUAAGUUGACAAUCUCCUAAAUCAUACUGCGCUUAUUUGGGAACUGCAACGAACUUUAUCACUAAAUGGGAGAAAGGCCUUACAGUAUCAAUUUGUAGUAGGAUAUAAAUUUAGGAACCUAAUUGAAAGUAUAACAAUGUAAAAUAUCACUGAUCACCGAGUUUAGCGGUAGGAUAAAAACUUGACUAUUCAUCUCAAUGCAGGUGAGCAUAACUCUCAUUGCUACCGGCUUCAAACGCCAAGACGAAUUGGAAGGCCGAACCGCAAAGGUAUAUAUGCCUUCGCUUGUUGUCUGCUAACUUAAUUUUAGCGUCAGUCCUGUUUAGUAAAUCACGUCUCUUAACAAACGGCUCGCAGGGAGAUAAUAUCGGGAUAAACCGGCGGCCAUCUUCAUCUUCCACUGAAGAGAACUUUGUGGAGAUCCCCGAGUUUCUGCGGCGAAAGGGACCUUCUCGCUUUCCACGAGUUUGAUAGGUUUAUGUUCUUGUAUGUAUUUGUUUCUUCUUGUUCUGUCCCAGCUCUUGUAAUACAAUAUAAUCUUCUCUCAUACCUUUCCCUGUAAUUUUUCCUCUUUUUUAUCCAUAUAAAAUAGACACAGUGCUUGUUGUCGAGGUUAUGAACAAGUUCGAGUACCACCAAGCUGUUUCUGAUGCAGUUGUUUCUGAUAAUGAAACAUUCUGUGGAUGAAAAUGAUUAUUCCAACCAGUCAUGUAGCUUUCAUUCCGCACCUCAUUCAACUAAAAUUGCAUACAUUGUAGAGAUUGCUUUUCUAUGACAUAUUGCAUGAUUAACCUUGUGAAUUAAUUUGUUCAUACUUGCAUGCAUGGCACGUUAUUCUUGUAUGCAUUGAUGUAUAUACAAGGCCUAAAGGUUUUUGAUUGGUUGAUGAAUGCUAUAUAACAUAUAACAUGCCAUGAUCUGCCAAUACAUUAAUAACAUUAUUAGUAUCUAUGUACGGUUUUGUAAUUCGUUGAUGCAGGAUUAUCUUGUUAUUUAUCAUUAAAUUGUUCAUCUUGUCUUAUUUACUAUAUGCCCUCGCUGAGUUGGACAAUGUAGGUCGAUCUUGUCGUUUAUUAUUAAACUGUUUAUCAUGAUUCUAACAUAUUCGGUCGCUACGUACACAGAUUUUGUGACACUGACUUAUUGGCACUGGCAUGUAGUGUAUGAGAAGUAAAUAAAGAAUUAAUUUAGUGGUACAGAGACUUUUCCAUCUUGGAGCAGAAUAUUCUGAUUAUCCAAACAUAUAAUUUGAACACCAAUAAAGACAGUGUCAGGUUGCUGACGUGUAGUCGUUCCCGUCAAUUAUUGCCUGGUCUGUAGCCGGUCUAUUAAACUCCAAAUGCUAUAAAUUCAAACUAUAUUACUUAUUAAAAUACUAGCACAACUAAUUAAAAAAAAAGCUUUAAAUCGUUACAUAUGAUUUUACAACACCUAAAAAUGUGCCUAAACAAAGUAUAAUUUUUAAUAUCUUUAGUAUAACGAACAGUAAUUGUUUUAGCCCACUUAAAAUUUGUAUUCAAAUUUCAAAAUUUCUCCCAUCCUACGUAAAUUCCACCAAUGACAGUGGGCCUUGCGCAAAUACGAAGGCGAAGAUCCUCUGCAUCAUAUGACGUACAAUAAUUAAUGCUAAAAUAAUAAUAUAAUAAUAUCCUUCUUACGUUCUCUCGACCAGUUUAAUUUUUUAAAUUUAAUAAGCAAAACUAACCAAUUACGUUUCUGGAAAAUUGGUGUCGUACCAAUUUUCUACAACCCGAUUUGCAGCGAACGUGCUGAACCGUCAAGCAAGUGGCGGGGUGGGCCAUGAGAACGGCGGGCCCGGGUCCAAACUGCCUAUAAAUAUCCAACCCUUCCUCACUCUCCUCACUCACUUUUCCGUUUCUGUUGUGCUUUGGAGCGAGCGCGCGACGACGAUGGCUCUCGCUGCUCGUUUCUUCCUCUUCUCCUCCCCUCGCUCUCUCUCCUCCUCCGCUUCCGCUUCGCUCCCCCCUCUCCCCCGCUCCCCCACUCCCCACCUAGGGUUAGUGCUUCGCCGCUCCCGAUCCGACCGCCUCGAUCUCCCCGACGCCUCUCUCUUCUCCCACGGAUCAAUCUCCCAUGGCGGCGGAUCACUCCCUCGGAAGAUCCGCUGGUAAGUGAUCGUUCAUUUAUUUCGUUCAUGAGCUCGGAUUUGUGUUUCUACGGUUUCUUCUCAAGCAUUUGUGAUCGAAUGAGGUGUGAUUGCUUCGUUCUCUCUGGUUUCUUUACUUCGUUGCUCUUUGGUGUAUGGAGACUCUUCGAUCGGUGGUUCUGAUUCUAUUCUUGUUCGAUUGGGUUAUUGAUCGCUUAGAAUAAGUUUUCUUAUCUGGUUACUGUGGAGUUAGGCCUUUUCAUGUCCUUUGGCAUGCUUCUUCGUUACUAAUUGUGCACUUGUCAUCCGAAGGUCGUCUCGAUUUGAAGAAUUUAUUUGAUUAUAUUGAUUUUAUUGAUUUUAUCUCUUGAUUGUUUUACGGUUGAAGGUUUUCAGAGAUGUUUACAUUCUUUGUUUCAUCGAGAACUUCUGUUUGUGUACGAGAGAUUUCUCUAGCUGGUUGAGAUAACGUUUUGCGGACGAUCGGAGUGCUACAUCGCAUUUUAUGUGUUAAUUAUUGCAUAUAUUGCAUGUCGGCAGUUCAAUUAGUGUUCCUGACUAUAUCUUGAGAGAAUAAUGCAGGAUUGGUCCUCAAUUUUCUGGCAAUUCGGCAGAAACAUUGGGAUCUUCCUCCUCGGUAUGCAAUGGAUCGUCAGUAUUAUCUGUUGUUUGUUUGUCAGAGCAAUUUAUUUCCUCAUGGUUAGAUUAGUUGAACUACUAGAUCAUAAUUAUCAUCUUGGCUAUUUUUUUUCCUACUAUAUAGGAUCAGCUAGAGAAGAACAACUCAAACUCGAACGUUCUAUAGAAGAGUUGCUUGAUUUACACUAUUCGGUCAACCUGUUUUUGACCCUAUAGGAAAUUGUAUGCUGCUUUAGUUUUUGAAUUUUAUCAUAUAUCCAAAGACAGCCUAUGGUGUCACUGUUUGAAUUUGCACAAUUAAUGUUCCUAAGAAACUAAAGAAGAUCUGAAACACAUACUAACAAUUGAAACACAUGAUUGUAUGAUAAGUAUCACUUCCAAUGGCCGGUGAUGUUCAUGUAAGUGUUUAUUUAGUACUGACUGGAUAUAUUACCGAUUGGAUAGCCAUAGAUAUGAUAUAAAGUUAUGGAUUGAUCUUGUAUUUGCUGUUUAUACUUGUGGAGAAAUCAUUAGUUGAAAUCUAGAGAUAACUUUGAGAAAACUUGUGAAGUGAAUAGUUCAGUUGGUUUUAAUGGUUAAACGGAACCAGUUCUAAUUAGUAACGCUUGCUUGUAUGUCCUCACUUUAUCUAGCCAUUUUAGCAGCAUCCUUUAGUAGUAGUAGUUCGGAUUUUUAUAUGGAAAGGGUAAAAUGAUUCCUGUUUUCUAAUGUUACAUUCUCUCAGGAACCUGACGAGGAUACUGAUUCAGUUCCAAUGCCGAUAGUUUUGAUCGAUCAAGAUUCAGAUCCUGAUGCAACAAUCGUUCAGCUCAGUUUUGGGGACCGUCUAGGGGCACUACUUGAUACGGUGAAGUUGCUCUUUGUCAUUUGUUUCUAGCUGAAGAAACUUGAUAUAGUGAAGUUACUCUUUGUCAUUUGUUUCUAGCUGAAGAUACUUGAUAUGGUGAGGUUACUCUUUGUCAUUUUUCUCUAGCUGAAGAUACUUGACACGGUGAAGUUACUCUUUGUCAUUUUUCUCUAGCUGAAGAGAUACCAAUUUGUUCGGUUAUUUUUCUUCAACUGCAUUCCAAAUAUUUGUCCUACUACAGAAGGAAAAUAUGUAUUAUUUUCCAUUUGACAUUAGAAGAAUCUUUUGUAGCAUAUUUAGGAAAUGCAACUUCUGAAUACCUUUUUUCAAUCUUCAAUAUGUUGUUGUUCAAUUGAUUAGGACAAUGUGAAAUUCUUAGAUCUUGGUUCCCUGGUCUUCAGAUGAAAGCACUCACAGACCUGGGACUUCAUGUGACCAAGGGAUCUGUGACAGCUAAUGAAUUUGUUGUGCGGACAAAGUUUUUUAUCACGCAGAUGUGAGUCUUUAUACAUUUUUUUUUUUGCUUUUUUUCGUUAACUUAUCUUAAUAAUGUUUAUUCUUCAUUUGAAAUGUUCUAAAGAAAGUUGGAUCUGUCGUACCUUUAUUAGUUUGCUUUGUAUAUACCAUUUGAUUUCUUAAAAUUCAUGUGGUGAGUGUGCCUAGAAUCGUCAGUAUAAAAGAGUUCUUACUACACACAUAAAAAUGGCUGUGUAAUGUGGAUGUAAUCUUUAAUGUUAUAUCCCAUAGGAUUAUUACUUUAGAGAAUCUGAACGUAAGUAUGUCAACAUUCCAGGGGGCGAAAGAUUGUAGAUCCUGACAUAUUGGAAAGAAUUCGGCUUACCAUAAUCAGCAACCUGCUGAAGUAUCAUCCAGUACGCUUUUAGUGACGCUGCUGGUUCUUUGAAAAGCUAUAUGUAGGUUGCAUUACUUUUAAUUGUCUGUAUUUUCAUCUAUCUGCAGGAAUCCAGUGAGAAGUUGGCAAUGGGUGAAAUAUUCGGAAUAAAGCCUCCAGUGAAGGUAAUUAGUUCUAAUAAUUCAGCAUUUCUCUCAUUUUCGUUAGUUUAACUAUACUGAUGGAAAGCUGCUAUUAUGUCUGUGAGAUCGUAUCCUAUGUUCAGGAGUUUUGUUCUGUUCUAGCUUUAAGCAAAAAUAGAUGAUUAUUACUUAUCUCUUGUUCAUUUGGUAGAAAAACUGAGAGUUAACACUGGGUAAUGAUUUCUGGACAUUUGGCCCUAAAAUUGGAUGUUUACAUGAUAUUCUCUUUUAAUCUCUUGAUUGGCAGCUUGAUGUUGAACUUGCAACACACAUACAUCUGGAACAUGAUGGACCCAAAAGAAGGUUUGUUACAUUUCACACUUCUAUUCUUUUAGCUAUGCAUUUAUGAUCAUAAAGUCUAAUAUGGGUACAGACACCACUAUAUUUAGUUGUUUGAGAAUGAGCUAUGACCAGAAGUUCUUGAUUACUUUCAUAUGAACUAUUUCAAAUUUCCUUUCACUUCUUUAGCUGUAAGUUGUCAUGGUAGUCAUCUGAAUCUGCUCUAAGGUUGGAAUGCCAUUCUAUACCAGCAACCGGUUAUGUUAGUAAAGUUAAAUCCUCUAGAUAACGUCGUGGGCAUUUAGUUCUACAUACCUGCAGAUUUCAGUGUGUAUCUUAUCAAGCUAUUUCAUAUUCACUUAUAGCAUAUUUCUCGACUGCUUUAUCACACUAUGACAUGUGUCAUUUACUCGGGCAGUCGCUAGCGUUUGAAGUCAUAAAAAUAGGGAACUGUGUGGAGGCCUAAAUGAAACAUGAAAACAGAGGCGAAUGUCAAAUUCAUACUUAGAUUUCAUAAUGUAUAUCAUUUACAGCGAGGAAAAAGCUGGUUUUUCCUCAUGUCAAGGCAACUUUGAAACACAGAAAGUCAUGUGUUUUCUUUUUUUUUUUUUCAUAGGCCGAAGGAAGUAAUUAUUUUGCUUUGCAUGUAUUCUCCAGCUUGCUUUACAUUGAGACAGCUGAUCGACCUGGACUACUGCUCGAGAUCAUCAAAGUUAUAACAGAUGUAAAUUUAGAUGUGGAAUCAGCUGAAAUAGACACCGAAGUAUGUUUGCUUCUGAUUUCUCUGUUCAAAAACAAGGAUAUUCCACAAGCAUUUUUUGUCAUUCUUAAUUAUUGUAAUUUGCAGGGUCUCAUAGCUAAGGAGAAGUUCCACGUGAGCUACAGAGGCGCGGCAUUGACCGACCCCUUAUCUCAGGUCAGGUUAUCUUAUCUUAUAACUAGUUCUUUCAACUUCGUUUUUACAGGGAAUAAUUAUAUGGUUUCCAUUAUGAGAGAGUUGAUGUUGCUAUGAUUACUGUAGACAACAUCUAAAACAUCUCUUAAGUUUGAUCAAGAAGUGGACAAUUUGAGCUUUACAUUUUUUUUUUUUCUUGGCAUAAUUUUAAGGGGCUUGUGUUGUCUCAGCUGCUGGUUAACUGUCUCCGCUAUUACCUCCGAAGGCCUGAAACGGAUGAAGGCAGCUACUGACACAGUACCUCAGCAAUUCAGUAACACAAAUGGAAGGAUCCAAGAAUUUUAAGCAGGUCAACUUCCAUUCUUCCCUUAAAGAAACUGAUUUCUGUAACUCCUUACCACGUAUCUCACCUUCUUACUUUUUACAACAUGUGUUCGAUUCGGAUUCUGAUCUUACCUAGUAACUCUCAAUUGUUGGACAUUGUUUACACCGAUUUAGGAGCUAGCUGAAAGGCUUUUGCCAUUGGCUGCUUCUGGAUGUAACAAUUGUUACAUUUCAAUUCAAUUGUUGGUAAAUGAUGGGCCAUAGUUUUAAUUCGCCUCCAUUUGAAGUAUUGUUUGUAAGUCUGAGCAAACAGAGCGUUAGAAUAGCCUCUUCUGUUUGUUGGAGUUGGGUGGGCCAUCGGCAAAACGGAAACCUUAACCUCUGCAUUCCCUGCGUAGAAUGUGGAGUGGGCACUUGUGCCUAUUUGAAUUUGUUGAGCUAUUAGGCAAGAUACUGCCUUGCCUAUUUGAAUUUGUUGAGCUAUUAGGCCAGAUACUGCCUAAGAUCUGUUCCUACAGGAAACCCAAGUUAGUGCUAUUGCCAAUUGGUUGCCGAUCUCUGAUUCAUGCCUAUAGUUAUCGAUCUAAGAUUAUAGUGUGUUGAUUGAGAAAGAGCUUAAAAGUUUCAAUAGCUAUAACCUGUUACUUUUGUUAGAAUUCUGUUUUUUGCUUGUGUAGUUUUGUAUAUUCCCAGGAGGAGGUAGUCCAAGUGAAGAUGUAGGGAGCACUUUAUCAACCUGUUGUUUAAUAGUUAAUUAAAUGCGUAGUCCAAAGGAAAAGAACCUUCUAAUUUUCAUAAAUAACAAAAACUUCAUUUUUUUAAGAUCCUUAGUUAUAAGUAGGUAGAAGCAGAAUAUUUUACAAUGAUAUUUUUGCUUGGCGAAAAACAUGAAAUAGAGGCUAACUGUGACCACAACUUCAGAAUCAUAUCUGUCUAGUAGUUGCAUCAAACUCUUCUAGCUUAGUUAUUGGGAGUGGAGUAGAAUAGAGCGUAGAGCAUCUCAUUCCAAGCAUCUGGGACUCCCGGCAAGCACCAGUGGCAACAAUCGGAAACCAGGAAUUCGGUAUUGCUAUGCUGCUCUUGCCCGCCAUGAGCCCUCGUGGCGUAGAUUGAAGGAUGACCGUCCUGACGGAGAGCCGCCAUGCUCGUGAUUUCUUGGAGGUACACUGGAAAGAUCAUCUUCUUCAACACUUCCCUCAGCACCACCAGCUGCCCCGCAACACGCUGGCUGUGGCCCAAGUACGCCAGGGGUUCCCUCUGCUUGUAGCAUUGCCACCCGUUUAUCCUAUUUAACCCAGCCACCCCAUUAAUGACUUUAGUUACUACUCAAUAGUCGAUCAGAUUCUAUAUGACGAGUGUCUUGUACCUGUUGUGGCGCGGCGACGAGCUUCGGAAGAUGACCGUAGCUCUUCGAGGGUCUAAAUUCAGGUCCACCCACUUAGCCCAAGUUGUUAGACCCUUCUCAUACGCAACCAUAGGGUUCAGAUUUGUGAAUACCCUUCCCCCUUCCUCGUAAAAAUCCCACCUUCCAAAGCCCAGAAAAUUUACUAUUGUGUUAUUUUGUUAUUCAUUAUCUACGGCCUCCUUCAUUGAUAGAUUCAUCAAGGAAAACAGAAAAGAGAGUAGAAAAAAUAAUAAUAAUAAAUUAGGUGAGACUAGAAAUCUUAUUACGAGCUCCAUUUUCCGGAGUGAGUCCACCAGUGAGCAGAAUCGAACACAAGGACAUCGACCCCACGCCAGUGCUUUGCGUUCUCUUCAAUGCAAUCCAAGCACAGGACUCUCUUGUUCUCCUCUUCUUCCUUCAAUUCGACUAAAAGAGGAGCCCAUGAGAACUCAAUGGACGCCUCAAAAUCCUGCAAUCAACCCACACAUCAUUUGUUACCUCUGUUUCGAGAUGUAAUUACCAGAUCGAGCUAGUAGUAAACUUAUACCUUGGCCUGGAAUGCUAUGGUAGAUGGGCCAUUGGAAUAAACCAUUUUUCUCUCAUUGGGUAUUACUGCUUCUACUAAGCAAACAAGGGAUUCCCAUUGAUUCCUCAUUAUAGAAUCCCCCACCAGCAUCACCCUUUUCCCUCUGAUUCUGUUGAGGAAAUCCAGUGCAUUGAACCUAAAGAUACGCACCACUUUGGUUAGCCGAGUCGCACCACAUGAUUUUGAGCUUCCUAGGCACUAACGAGAAGUCCUUUCUUUUUGCUAUAAAAAUAAAAGAAUUUAGUUUAGAGCUUUUGCUUUUAAGAUUCAGAACCUUAUUUUUUAACUCCCAACCGCCGCCAAAAAGUUCAAGACUUUUCUUAAUGAUAAAGUUAUUAAUAUAUAGAAUCACCCAUGUUUCCCAUGUUUCCGUAGUAAAAAUUAUUUAUCCAAUUAUUAAUUUUUUAUUUCUCAAAUACUUGACUAUCGAAGAGAAGCUGCUCUUGAAACUAGGCCAAAUAGUUCCGCCGCCGUGGAACUAUGUUUACCUCGGAAUAGAGCAGUGCUGUGGCUUCCACCGCCACCUCUGGUAGUCGGAAUCCGGCCGGCCAUUGAGCUGACAGCUGAAUUGAGUACUAAGGUAGGGGCAGCUGGCUUCAUAGAGAGGAUACGACGCGUCGAACACCCACUCACCAAUCGACAGAUCGCAGUCGGUCGCAAACGGCGGCUGGUUCUGAUUAAUCUUUUCGAUCGCGUCCUCUUUCUCUCCUCCCCACCUGAAAUUGUCCAUGGUUAGGUGAUCAGAUAGAGAAGCUCUUGCCAUUGUGAAGAACACAUUGGUGAGGCAUAAGAAGAAGAAUAGUGAUGUUGGGUGGAGGUUUAAUUCUCUAGCCAUUAACUGGCAAUGGACUGAAUUAGAUUGGAUGUGGGGUGCAAGUGAGCUUUGUUUAGAUGAAUCGUAAGCUUGUUUUAUAUAGUUGGAGGAUGCAUGGUUACUGCUUUUGUUCAUUAUAACUGAUGAGGCGCCGAAACUUGCGGGGAGACGUGGAGUUUUUCUUUUUGCUCAUCCCCGUGAUGCAAAGGAAUUGAGAUGUCUUGUUUUCUUAUUGAGUGUGUUGGCCACGAGCACACCAACAUGGCUGGGUAGAGAGAGAGAGAGAGAGAGAGAGAGAGAGAGAAAAGAAGAAGCACUUUUUGUUGGGCAUAGAGAAUUUUUCUGCACCCAUCAAUCAUUGUUUACUAAAUAUUUGCAGUCCUAGGAAACGUUCUGGUAGAACAAAACAGUACGAAUCUGACCAACUUUACCAUAUGAACACUAACCACUGUUUAUCCCUGAUUCCUAGAACAGCUUCCCUACUGGAAACUUGCAACCCAUGUACCCGAAAAGCUAUACCAAAAUUUAUUAUCAAAAUUUUCAAAUAAAAAAAAAUGUAUUUGUUAUAAGGGGUAAAAUGAAAGUGUUCAAUUUAAGCAAUAAUUUACUACAAUUUUUGCCUGGCUCCUGAGUUUUUAUGCACUCUCGAAUCACAAACCAGCCCAUUUCCUCCUUCCAACCUCUCUCUCUCCCUCUAUCUCUGUUCUUUUGAACCUUCAAUAAUGUAGUUAGUCAUCGAAUUAAAUGCCAUAUUGAACACAAUUAAGAUAUCUGGAAUUACAAACAACAAACUCAGAAGUCGUAAAUCUUAUUUGCUUAAUAAAUAUGUUUGCGAAUAACAGUCAAAUCAAGCGCUUGGUCACAAAUUUAGAUUUUAAGCAUCUGAGGGCUCCUCUCCAAGAAAAAGUGCCUUGAGGAUUUUAUCAGUCCAUUCUUCGAUUAACAUGAACAAAUGCCCGCCUUUGCUGUUCUCGUGAUAUCGUAUCCAAGGAAGCUUCUUUGAUAUGUAGCGCUGCAGCUCGGCCGGUAUCAUCCUAUCUUCUCGCCCUUGCCACAGGUGAACAGAUCCCUCAUUGUUCGGAAAUGGGUUGGUUAUAUUCAUCGGGUCGAACUCCCAUGUGCCAAAUGCUAUCAGAUAGUCUCGGUGGAUCGAUUCGUAUUCGCCUUGUUGUCUCGCUUUGUUCUGGAACAAAAACAUGGUAAGUUGCAACUGUCAUUCAUCUCUCCUUCUCAAGGAAAUGUUAGUUUGCAUUUAUACGAGCAUCGCAAUGUUUAGGUGAUCAAGACCCUAAGUGUGAUUUUGGUCGGUGACGCUUACCUCGGUGGUAAGCAUUGGCAUCGCCAUUAUCUUCUGAAAGAUCUCCUUAUCUUGCUUGCUGAAUAUGUCAGGGUGCAUUGUGGCUGAAGCUGAUGCGGGAAACCACUUUUGGGUCAUCCACCAAUGGAAGAGGAAAGGUAUGUGAUGUGCAACCCAUAGAGCCCUCUGUUCUUGCGCAAGUAUUUUGCCGAACCCCUCUUUAGCUAGCUCGGUAGGGAAAGAUGGCCACCAGUAGUUGAUCACCGGCACCACCAGUGCUGCUCCAGCAAGCCUACAUUCCGAAUGUUCGCGAGUUUAAAAUCGAUCUCUCUAACAUGUUUUCUAGGAAAGAAUGUGUUCGGACUUCUAAAGUUAAAAAUUCUUUCCAUCAGGUUACAUGGCAGCAGAAACAGAAGCAGUUUCAGAUUAGAAUAAAAGUUUCUAGCAUCUAGAUAUAGAACCAUAUAGUUGGCUUCCUAGCCUGUGUCGGCAGGCAAACUGAAACCUCUUAGCCACCAUUGGAAAUUCUAAAUUCUACUUUUUUUGACCCAGAAGCUUAUUUCAACGUACUGCCGUAGAAACUCUGAACGUCUUAUUUACCAAAUUUCCAGGUGUUGCUUUCUAAAGCAAGAGAGGCUUUUCUCAUUAGCUUGUCGGCCGAACAGGCCUUCAGUAUCAGAAAUAAAUUUCUUUUCCGAGAGAUCGAAAAUAGCGAGCUGUAAGAUACAAGCUGUUUGUUUCUCACCUGUGAGGUAUGUAAUUUAAGCACCCCCACACUGGGUGACCUCCCAUGGACACUCCCAUCACAUAGAACUUGGACCCAAUCUCCAAUUGAUCCGCGAGCUCUUCUAUAUCCAUAGCAUCACUCCUCACGCUUCGCUUCGGAUUCGGAUCACUCUCCCCAUAUCCUGGCCUAUCGAAUUGAAGAAAAUAUAUCCCCAGAUCCUCCACAAGCUUCUGUUAAACACAACAAUGUUCUAAUGUUAGUUAGUAGAGAAAACAAUUAAAGCCUUAACAAAAUAAUUAGGAACUUAAAAAAAAAAAAACAAAAGAAAUCUCGAAUUUUUACUUGAGAUGCAGGUAUAAGAAUGUCUUUGGUAGCAUCAAGUCCAUGAACAACUAUGAGUUUAAACUUGGCUUUCUCCUUGGGCACUCCUGCUUCUUUGUAAGCUAGGUAUCUUCCAUCUCUGAGCCUGAUCCUGGGGGAUCUAACAGGGGGGCCAUUUUGCGAACCGCAAAGUGUCGGAGGGGGAGGUCGCAAAAUCGCGUGAUAACCCCAGGCUAGUGAAAUGAUCAGCAGGGCCAACAAUAUUCCUGGGAAUCGCAUAGUCUCUCAAUCUAAGUUAAUUUUGAGUAGAUAUUACUCAUUAGGAUCAGUAGUUGCUUUAUACAUGCAUUAUUGCUAGCAGGUACUUCAAUAGUUUUCUAUACAUGGAUUAUUGGUAGCAGGUAGUAGUGCUACUUUUCUUUUUUCCUUUUCAGUUAGGGCCAUCUCUUUCAGAGUUUUCUGGUUGUGGAUGCAAAUAGGGCAGAUCUGAAGGCGAGAGGGUCCCCCACCUCCCGUCAUCUCUUUUUUUUCUUUGGCAAGUCGGAACGAAUUUUGGGCGGAUUUGAUUCUAUCAUAUUUUUUUGUUUUUACUUAUUGUUUCAUUCGAACUGGUUGGAGCGGAUGCGAAUUUUUAGCAGACUAUAAUGGAGCAAAGGAAGAAAUGGGUCUCAUGCUUCCUACUCUAUUUCUUAGCGAAUUGUUGUGGCAGAUUUAGAACAAAUUAUUUUUUUUCUUAUUUUUAGCUUCUAUUUUUCAUUCUAUUCGGAACGGAUCGGGACAGAAUCUCCAUCAACCCGGAUCCAUUAGCAUUCCUAUUUCUAAUAUAGUGUUAGGUUCGAAGAUUUAUAUUUCGAGAAUAGUGAAAAACAUCUCAAUAAAUAAUAUCCAUAUAUUGCUAUCUUCAGAAUAAAGAGUUUUUUUUUCUUUUUUUUUUAGAGAAAGAUAACAAGUUAUUCGUUUCGUUCGCUUUUUAUAAAUUAACUUAGCUAGAAAUAUAAAGUAAAUAAACUUUAAAUACAGAAUCUCAAAUAUCAUUACUUAAUUUUUUUUAAUCAAAAGACUUAUUUUUUCUACCCAACUCUCAGCGGAGGUAGUUGGUGACUCCGAUGUGACUGGUACAACAACAACUUCUCAACUUACUAACUGUUAUGGUCCCUGUACCAGUAGUACAUUAAUUACUUUUCAACUUCUGACCGUCCUUAGCGUAAGUGGUAAAAAAUUUAAUGAUUGGUAUAUUAGGUCCCAAAUUCGAAUCCUAGUUAAUUUAUAUUUCUAACUAAAUUUAUUUUUAAAUAAAAUAAACGAAGCGGGUAGCAUACUACCUAUUUUUUUAAAAAAAAGAAAUUACUUUUCGACUUA